RNAcentral lists this ribosomal RNA (480 nucleotides) under uncultured bacterium. RNAcentral describes it as "partial 16S ribosomal RNA". It matches the Rfam family "Bacterial small subunit ribosomal RNA", at positions 28 to 507 of the family's 1533-position model. The record is from RNAcentral.
GACGAACGCUGGCGGCGUGCUUAACACAUGCAAGUCGAACGAUGAAGAAAAGAAUCAAAGCUUCGGCAGAAAUUCAUUUCGGAUUAGUGGCAGACGGGUGAGUAACGCGUGAGCAACCUACCUCUUACAAAGGGAUAGCCUCGGGAAACCGGGAUUAAUACCAUAUAACAUUGCGACGAAGCAUUUCGAUGCAAUCAAAGCUACGGCGGUAAGAGAUGGGCUCGCGUCCCAUUAACCGGAUGGUGAGGUAACGGCUCACCAUAGUGACGAUGGGUAACCGGCCUGAGAGGGUGAACGGUCACACUGGAACUGAGACACGGUCCAGACUCCUACGGGAGGCAGCAGUGGGGAAUAUUGCACAAUGGAGGGAACUCUGAUGCAGCGACGCCGCGUGAGUGAUGAAGGAAUUCGUUUCGUAAAACUCUGUUCUAUGGGAAGAAAAGGACUGUACCAUAGGAGAAAGCUCCGGCUAAAUACGUG